CAGUCGAGGGGUAUAGUUCUUCGGAACUAGAGACCGGCGCACGGGUGCGUAACGCGUAUGCAAUCUACCUUUUACAGAGGGAUAGCCCAGAGAAAUUUGGAUUAAUACCUCAUAGUAUGCAGAGUUGGCAUCAACACUGCAUUAAAGUCACAACGGUAAAAGAUGAGCAUGCGUCCCAUUAGCUAGUUGGUAAGGUAACGGCUUACCAAGGCUACGAUGGGUAGGGGUCCUGAGAGGGAGAUCCCCCACACUGGUACUGAGACACGGACCAGACUCCUACGGGAGGCAGCAGUGAGGAAUAUUGGACAAUGGGCGCAAGCCUGAUCCAGCCAUGCCGCGUGCAGGAUGACGGUCCUAUGGAUUGUAAACUGCUUUUAUACGAGAAGAAACACUGCUUCGUGAAGCAGCUUGACGGUAUCGUAAGAAUAAGGAUCGGCUAACUCCGUGCCAGCAGCCGCGGUAAUACGGAGGAUCCAAGCGUUAUCCGGAAUCAUUGGGUUUAAAGGGUCCGUAGGCGGUUUAAUAAGUCAGUGGUGAAAGCCCAUCGCUCAACGGUGGAACGGCCAUUGAUACUGUUAAACUUGAAUUAUUAGGAAGUAACUAGAAUAUGUAGUGUAGCGGUGAAAUGCUUAGAGAUUACAUGGAAUACCAAUUGCGAAGGCAGGUUACUACUAAUGGAUUGACGCUGAUGGACGAAAGCGUGGGUAGCGAACAGGAUUAGAUACCCUGGUAGUCCACGCCGUAAACGAUGGAUACUAGCUGUUGGAAGCAAUUUCAGUGGCUAAGCGAAAGUG
This 794-nucleotide ribosomal RNA is filed under the name uncultured Bacteroidota bacterium. RNAcentral's name for it is "bacterial SSU rRNA". It matches the Rfam family "Bacterial small subunit ribosomal RNA", at positions 59 to 859 of the family's 1533-position model. Lineage: Bacteria; Pseudomonadati; Bacteroidota. The record is from RNAcentral.